Molecule: small RNA, 31 nt
Filed under: Bombyx mori (domestic silkworm)
Lineage: Eukaryota; Metazoa; Arthropoda; Insecta; Lepidoptera; Bombycidae
Description: piRNA piR-bmo-2051304
Source: RNAcentral
UAAUGUUCGGUUAAGUGCUUCUAAUGCACGU